Molecule: ribosomal RNA, 253 nt
Filed under: uncultured bacterium
Lineage: Bacteria
Description: partial 16S ribosomal RNA
Rfam family: Bacterial small subunit ribosomal RNA
Source: RNAcentral
UACGUAGGCAGCGAGCGUUGUUCGGAGUUACUGGGCGUAAAGAGUGCGUAGGCGGUUUUCUAAGUUUGGUGUGAAAUCUCCCGGCUUAACUGGGAGGGUACGCCGAAGACUGGAAGGCUUGAGUAUGGGAGAGGUAAGCGGAAUUCCUGGUGUAGCGGUGAAAUGCGCAGAUAUCAGGAGGAACACCGGUGGCGAAGGCGGGUCUCUGGGCCGAUACUGACGCUGAGGAGCGAAAGCGUGGGGAGCGAACAGG